This 236-nucleotide ribosomal RNA is filed under the name uncultured bacterium. RNAcentral describes it as "partial 16S ribosomal RNA". It matches the Rfam family "Bacterial small subunit ribosomal RNA", at positions 99 to 334 of the family's 1533-position model. The record is from RNAcentral.
CGGACGGGUGAGUAACGCGUGGGUAACCUGCCUCACACUGGGGGAGUAACAGUUAGAAAUAGCUGCUAAUACCGCAUAAGCGCACAGUUCCGCAUGGAACAGUGUGAAAAACUCCGGUGGUGUGAGAUGGACCCGCGUCUGAUUAGCCAGUUGGCGGGGUAACGGCCCACCAAAGCGACGAUCAGUAGCCGGCCUGAGAGGGUGAACGGUCACAUUGGGACUGAGACACGGCCCAA